AGAAGACUCAUGCUAUCACCUCACUGUUAAGGCCCUUAAAGUACUGUUAAGCACCUAUACUGCCAUCAAAAUAAAAUAAAAAUCCUCCUGGAUUCACAUGAGCCAUGCCAAACUACACGGAGACAAUUGGGGAGGACGACCCCUAUAGGUGACCUGAAAAUAAGGAUUUCCAAGGCCAGUUUCCAGGGCCCUGAAACAGACAUUUUCACAAAGAAGAUAGCUUUUCCCCCAAGAUCAUGGAUCAAGAGAACCCAUUUUCCAUAGAAAAACUCCUUUUUUCUUUUAACCUCCACCCCAACAGGAUCCUUUGUAAGCACUUCUUUUAAGCCUCACCCUUCAAGGACUGUACAUGGGAAGCUGAGACCGCCUCAGCCUAUCCCAUUUUCCCUUUUAAUCUUCCACUGUGACUCUUCUUCCAAACUGUGCCUUGCUCUUACUAACCCUUACUGCUUUUCCAGCAGGUCAGGCACAGACCCAGCAUGCCUUUGCCUCGGUCUUUCAAACUCCGGCCAGAUUAACUCAUCAAUCUAAUUGCUGGUUAUGCCAACAUCUAGAUCACGCAAAGGAACCUGAACUCAUUUUUGUUGCUGCCAAUGUGCGUGCCCGGUGGAAGCAGUCCAGAAGAUGGCUGUGGUGAGGCGUCUGUAACCACAGAAAAAACAUCACGCUGCAUCUCUUGCUGGUGAGUCAACUGGAUGCAAAAACACCUCUGGAAGCUCAAGAACUGUCUUUUGCUCAGAUGUCAUUUUUGCACCUCUUCAAUGAUGCUGACAGUAACUCUUAUGAUGUCAACGCUUGUAAAAUCACCAGGUGUUACGUAUGGCUCACAAGCCAGGCCGGUGCAACUUGGGGUAGCUCACUGGAUCCCCUUGUUAAGCUGCCAGACAGUAAAGAUUACAUAUGGAUAGACCAAAAAUCUGGGCUGAAUUAGGUGACAAAACUAAGCCCUAUAACUGCCAGAACUGGACCAAAGUCCUGUUUAUAUCAAAUAUUUUGCAAAUUGUUCUGUUCCCACAGACUGGCAGGGACACGUGGAAAUGACAAUGAGAAAGAAAAGACACAGCAAACUCCAGUGGUGGGACAAAUGCUAUCCAACUACAUAGGUUGAGGUUACAACAAUGGUAAAGAAAUUAGUAACUGAGAUUAUAUCUCAUUUGGGUAUUCCUUUAUGGAUUGAAUCAGAUCGAGGGAGUCAUUUUAUAGCAGAAAUAAAGCACUUGCUUGCAAAGGCUCUGGGAUACUUAUUAAAAUUUUAUAUCCCAUAUAAUCCCCAAUCUUCAAGGCAAGUGAAAUAUAAAAAUCUCGACAUGGAAAGGACUUUGGGAAAAGUCUGUCAAGACACUGGAUUUAAAUGGCCAGAAGCAUUACCUUUGGCUGUUACAAAAAUCCAGACUACUCCAAGUAUUGGAGAUAUGGAUUAAUCCCUUUUGAAAUAGUGUUUGGUCACCCCAUGCCACUGAUACCUCUAAACCUUCCAUUCCUGGGAAGCUCAUACACUCCAACCUGGCCCUAUCUGUAAAUAACACUGGUCUGUUUAUCUUGUGUAGUAAUAAAGCACACAGGUGGUUCCCACCUAGAUGGUCAGGAUGCUGUGGACUUGGUUAUCUGAUAACCUCUGCUACCAGGUACUCCACUUUAAAUGACAAACUUGGGCUCUUUUGUUCAUAAAAUGGUACCACACAAAUGUACUAGACACAAUAUUAUUUUUAAAAACCCACUUGUAUAUCACAAUUCUAAGUUCUUUUAGGUGCUCAGGACUCUUUUCCUGGCAUUUGGAGCUUAUGAGAUUGAAAAGGCAGUUUUGAAUCUCUCCAUGAUAGAAGAACAGUUCAUCAAUCUCACUAUGCAAGCACUGAGAGCACUUCAGACAGAAGUCAACAGCCUAACCUCUGUUGUAUUUGAAAACCACUGCCCCCUGGAUGCCCUGACAGCCCAACAGGGAGGAGCUUGCUCGAUUAUUGGCAAAAAAAAUGGUGUUUCUAUGUAAAGCACUCAGGGUUCUAUGUAAAACACUCAGGGCAAGUAGAGACUGAUCUACACCCCUUAAAAGAUAAAAGUUAUCCAUCAGAUAAAUGAAGUGAAACCAUUCUAUUGGUCUGACCCAUUCCCAGGAAUGGGAGACUGGUUUAACAGAAUGUGAGAAAAUGUGCUUAGCUCUGUUCUUUUCUACUUAUCUAUUUUUUAUUUUUUUUAGGUUACUCAAGCGAAGCAGUGGGAGUAGAGAAGGAACAAAGGAAUCUGUAACUGGUUGUGAUCAAUUAGUUGUAAAUACCACUGCACACAGACCAGCCAAAACAUGUUGAGGCCAGAAAUCUUUUAAAGCCAGUUGUCCCUCUUGCAAGGAUUAGCAAUUAAACCAGAUGACAUAAUCUGCAAAUCUCCUUAGCCAGGACCACAUAAACCACCACAAAUCACAACCUGCUGGAAGGGAACAAAUGCCCGGGGCUACACAGGCAACCCCUGGGGACAAUGGUGAUGUCUCCCUUCAGGACGCUGCUGGUCAAGUUUGUGACAACGUGGCAGUGUGACACAGACUGACCACAUGUCAAUCCAUGUGCGUUAAAUAUAAGUGCAAUUUAAUUCUCCUCCUCCAUAUUUUAGAGAAAAAAUAAAUACAAUAAAUUCUUCUGGUA
Molecule: non-coding RNA, 2633 nt
Organism: Microcebus murinus (gray mouse lemur)
Lineage: Eukaryota; Metazoa; Chordata; Mammalia; Primates; Cheirogaleidae
Source: RefSeq, a predicted model, not a curated record